Molecule: long non-coding RNA, 126 nt
Organism: Rhagoletis zephyria (snowberry fruit fly)
Lineage: Eukaryota; Metazoa; Arthropoda; Insecta; Diptera; Tephritidae
Source: RefSeq, a predicted model, not a curated record
CAAAAGAUGGUACAGAUGCGCUGUAUUUAGGUGUUAAUCAAAGUUCUUAAACAUUAUUUAAUAAAGCUGGAUUGCCCCUGAAGAUGCUAAAAAUGUUUUAGCGAAACGUUGGGCCAGAAAGUGGAA